CACUCCUGCGGGAGGCAGCAGUGGGGAAUUUUGGACAAUGGGGGCAACCCUGAUCCAGCAAUGCCGCGUGAGUGAAGAAGGCCUUCGGGUUGUAAAGCUCUUUUGUCAGGGAAGAAACGGUGGUGGCGAAUAACUACUACUAAUGACGGUACCUGAAGAAUAAGCACCGGCUAACUACGUGCCAGCAGCCGCGGUAAUACGUAGGGUGCAAGCGUUAAUCGGAAUUACUGGGCGUAAAGCGUGCGCAGGCGGUUGUGUAAGUCAGAUGUGAAAUCCCCGGGCUCAACCUGGGAAUUGCAUUUGAGACUGCACGGCUAGAGUGUGUCAGAGGGGGGUAGAAUUCCACGUGUAGCAGUGAAAUGCGUAGAUAUGUGGAGGAAUACCGAUGGCGAAGGCAGCCCCCUGGGAUAACACUGACGCUCAUGCACGAAAGCGUGGGGAGCAAACAGGAUUAGAUACCCUGGUAGUCCCAUG
RNAcentral lists this ribosomal RNA (474 nucleotides) under uncultured organism. RNAcentral's name for it is "partial 16S ribosomal RNA". It matches the Rfam family "Bacterial small subunit ribosomal RNA", at positions 334 to 799 of the family's 1533-position model. The record is from RNAcentral.